This is a long non-coding RNA of Alnus glutinosa, 465 nucleotides long. RefSeq lists it as uncharacterized. The record is from RefSeq and is a predicted model, not a curated record. The transcript is spliced from 3 exons. Lineage: Eukaryota; Viridiplantae; Streptophyta; Magnoliopsida; Fagales; Betulaceae.
UUGAUUUUCGGUGGGUUUAAUUUUUCCUCUCCUUUCUUUUACUGUACCGUAGCAGAUUGUGUCUUAGAUUAUGGUUCCGUGUGAGCCAGAGGAGGACACUGGUUCGGGCAUCCAAUUGGUCCGACCGUCCGAUCAGAAAUCUCCCUACGACAUUUUCGGAAUAUCAUGUUGGCUGUUUGAAGGAUCACCGUAUGGAAGAGCUUAGGAUAUCUAUCAAAUAUUCCAGCCGAGGGUCUUAAUCUGUUGGUGGAAGCGAUGGAGGAAGCAAUAAAUGAAGAACAAGCUGUUGGAUAUUAGAUUGUAAUAUCAGAUCAAUUUCAGGAAACUGCUUUGGAGCCCUGUUUUGCUAUUACUUAUUUUCUUGGAAAUAUUAUCAUGGAUUCUGAUUUUAUUGAUUUAGAUGUUUUGGAACAACAAUUGUUAGAAAGUUGAGGAGUUUAGGAUCUAUGAGGUGUAUAAAUUCUC